This 253-nucleotide ribosomal RNA is filed under the name uncultured bacterium. RNAcentral's name for it is "partial 16S ribosomal RNA". It matches the Rfam family "Bacterial small subunit ribosomal RNA", at positions 524 to 776 of the family's 1533-position model. The record is from RNAcentral.
UACGGGGGGGGCAAGCGUUGUUCGGAAUUACUGGGCGUAAAGGGCUCGUAGGCGGCCAACUAAGUCAGACGUGAAAUCCCCAGGCUUAACCUGGGAACUGCGUCUGAUACUGGAUGGCUUGAAUUCGGGAGAGGGAUGCAGAAUUCCAGGUGUAGCGGUGAAAUGCGUAGAUAUCAAGCGGAACACCGGUGGCGAAGGCGGCCUUCUGGACAGUGACUGACGCUGAGACGCGAAAGCGUGGGGAGCAAACAGG